UACGUAGGGUGCGAGCGUUGCCCGGAUUUAUUGGGCGUAAAGGGUGCGUAGGCGGCGUGGCAAGUCUGAUGUGAAAUCCCGGGGCUCAACCCCGGAACUGCAUUGGAUACUGCCAUGCUAGAGUACUGGAGAGGAGAUUGGAAUUUACGGUGUAGCAGUGAAAUGCGUAGAUAUCGUAAGGAAGACCAGUGGCGAAGGCGAAUCUCUGGACAGUUACUGACGCUGAGGCACGAAGGCCAGGGGAGCAAACGGG
Molecule: ribosomal RNA, 253 nt
Filed under: uncultured bacterium
Lineage: Bacteria
Description: partial 16S ribosomal RNA
Rfam family: Bacterial small subunit ribosomal RNA
Source: RNAcentral